Poecilia latipinna (sailfin molly) is the source of this 191-nucleotide long non-coding RNA. RefSeq lists it as uncharacterized. Lineage: Eukaryota; Metazoa; Chordata; Actinopteri; Cyprinodontiformes; Poeciliidae. The record is from RefSeq and is a predicted model, not a curated record. The transcript has 3 exons.
UGCCAUAAGGCCUGGCUUUGGCCCCCAUGCAGCACACCUCUGCCCUCCUAUGUUUCAGCUCUUCAGUCCUUUAAAGUAUCUUUUCCCAUAGAUGUAGAAUUCAUGAAGCUUCCUGAAAUAUAUCCCAGUUUGUACAUCCACUUCCACAGAACUCCAAGAGCAGCACAACCGUUUUAAUCCAAGCACUCCUA